GUUUGAUCAUGGCUCACCACGGACGUAGUCGGCGAUGCCUAAUACAUGCAAGUCGAGCGAACAGAGAAGGAGCUUGCUCCUUUGACGUUAGCGGCGGACGUGGUGAGUAACACGUGGGCAACCUACCUUAUAGUUUGGGAUAACUCCGGGAAACCGGGGCUAAUACCGAAUAAUCUAUUUUACUUCAUGGUGAAAUACUGAAAGACGGUUUCGGCUGUCGCUAUAAGAUGGGCCCGCGGCGCAUUAGCUAGUUGGUGAGGUAACGGCUCACCAAGGCGACGAUGCGUAGCCGACCUGAGAGGGUGAUCGGCCACACUGGGACUGAGACACGGCCCAGACUCCUACGGGAGGCAGCAGUAGGGAAUCUUCCACAAUGGGCGAAAGCCUGAUGGAGCAACGCCGCGUGAGUGAAGAAGGUUCUCGGAUCGUAAAACUCUGUUGUAAGGGAAGAACAAGUACAGUAGUAACUGGCUGUACCUUGACGGUACCUUAUUAGAAAGCCACGGCUAACUACGUGCCAGCAGCCGCGGUAAUACGUAGUGUAUGCAAGCGUUUGUCCGGAAUUAUUGGGCGUAAAGCGCGCGCACG
RNAcentral lists this ribosomal RNA (588 nucleotides) under uncultured bacterium. RNAcentral's name for it is "bacterial SSU rRNA". It matches the Rfam family "Bacterial small subunit ribosomal RNA", at positions 11 to 575 of the family's 1533-position model. The record is from RNAcentral.